GAUGAACGCUGGCGGCGUGCCUAAUACAUGCAAGUCGAGCGAACGGACGAGAAGCUUGCUUCUCUGAUGUUAGCGGCGGACGGGUGAGUAACACGUGGAUAACCUACCUAUAAGACUGGGAUAACUUCGGGAAACCGUAGCUAAUACCGGAUAAUAUUUUGAACCGCAUGGUUCAAAAGUGAAAGACGGUCUUGCUGUCACUUAUAGAUGGAUCCGCGCUGCAUUAGCUAGUUGGUAAGGUAACGGCUUACCAAGGCAACGAUGCAUAGCCGACCUGAGAGGGUGAUCGGCCACACUGGAACGGAGACACGGUCCAGACUCCUACGGGAGGCAGCAGUAGGGAAUCUUCCGCAAUGGGCGAGAGCCUGACGGAGAAACGCCGCGUGAGUGAUGAAGGUCUUCGGAUCGUAAAACUCUGUUAUUAGGGAAGAACAUAUGUGUAAGUAACUGUGCACAUCUUGACGGUACCUAAUCAGAAAGCCACGGCCAACUACGUG
Molecule: ribosomal RNA, 497 nt
Filed under: uncultured bacterium
Lineage: Bacteria
Description: partial 16S ribosomal RNA
Rfam family: Bacterial small subunit ribosomal RNA
Source: RNAcentral